Molecule: transfer RNA, 88 nt
Filed under: Candidatus Omnitrophota bacterium
Lineage: Bacteria; Pseudomonadati; Candidatus Omnitrophota
Description: tRNA-Ser
Rfam family: tRNA
About the family: Transfer RNA (tRNA) molecules are approximately 80 nucleotides in length. Their secondary structure includes four short double-helical elements and three loops (D, anti-codon, and T loops). Further hydrogen bonds mediate the characteristic L-shaped molecular structure. tRNAs have two regions of fundamental functional importance: the anti-codon, which is responsible for specific mRNA codon recognition, and the 3' end, to which the tRNAs corresponding amino acid is attached (by aminoacyl-tRNA synthetases). tRNAs cope with the degeneracy of the genetic code in two manners: having more than one tRNA (with a specific anti-codon) for a particular amino acid; and 'wobble' base-pairing, i.e. permitting non-standard base-pairing at the 3rd anti-codon position.
Source: RNAcentral
GGAGAGGUGGCAGAGCGGUUGAAUGCGGCGGUCUUGAAAACCGUUGUCCCGCGAGGGACCCCGAGUUCGAAUCUCGGCCUCUCCGCCA